UUUCUUUUUCCUUUUGACUUGUUUUGUGUUUCAGAAUUUUAUUUCAGGAGCCUUUUUGAGGAUGAUGAGUGCUUCUCAGGAGACGUCAUCUAAGAUGACACUUGGAGAAUAUAUGCGUAGAAGUUAACAUUCUCUGGAGACGUCAUCUGAGAUGAAGCUUGGUGAGUAUAUGCAUGGGUAAGGGUGCACAGGAACCGAGCCGAAAAACCUGACUGUGCCGGAACCGGUGGAAUUGUACAUGGUUUUGUGCCGAACCGAGGAAGGGGGUACAGGUUCCGGUUCUAAAUCUGAGAACCGGCCUCUAGGAGGUACAGCUCCUCUCUAUUUGAGAAGGAACACGAACACCCGUUACAGGGAAGAGUUUUCUUCUCUUCAAGACUUCAACUUAACGAACACCAGUUACACCACCUCUCGUGUCUUUUUGCAGAAGCAGCAAACCAGAAGAAGAAGAAAUUUCUCUUCAAUUAAGAUUUGGUGCUGCAAUUAAAGCUCCUCGUAUUACAUCUAAGAAUAUCAUUAGAGUUACUGGGUCCUAUCAAAAAUAAUGCCACCACCAGUGCUGCCAUGGAAUAGAUCUCCACAACCAUUUCACCACCACUGCUACCACUUCAAUUCUUCUUUUCUUCAGUGUAGUGUGUAGUACUGCAGCUAUUAGUUGUUAAGACAAUCACACUUAAGAGUUAAGACUAUUGUAGUAUUGUUUGUGUGUGUGUGUGUGUGUGUGUCUGUGUGUUUCUCCUGCUGCCUGUAGUGUACUGCAGUCUGCAGCUUUGCUACUUGUUAUUUUUUCAGAUUUUCAAGACUUUGGCACUUUGCUUUGCUAGUAUUA
Papaver somniferum (opium poppy) is the source of this 829-nucleotide long non-coding RNA. RefSeq lists it as uncharacterized. The record is from RefSeq and is a predicted model, not a curated record. Lineage: Eukaryota; Viridiplantae; Streptophyta; Magnoliopsida; Ranunculales; Papaveraceae. The transcript is spliced from 4 exons.